GGUGUUUGAAGCAGUAAUUUACUUCGAUCUUUAAUGUCACCACCGAUAUGGUAUGGGAGGCCACAAUUCGCAAACGAAACAAAACUUCCGCGUUCGAACAUGAUGAUCUCGGCGUCUUCACUGAGUCGUCGAGCUCGCGCCGCUGCAGAAGCGCCUCCAGCAACACCAC
Molecule: antisense RNA, 169 nt
Filed under: uncultured Vibrio sp.
Lineage: Bacteria; Pseudomonadati; Pseudomonadota; Gammaproteobacteria; Vibrionales; Vibrionaceae
Description: Vibrio RNA AS7
Rfam family: Vibrio RNA AS7
About the family: Identified by direct cloning an parallel sequencing experiments with 5S/tRNA depletion.
Source: RNAcentral